GUGAUACAGUAGUUUCUAAUCAGGUAAACUUUGGUUCACUUGUUUUGUUUUUCAAAAGAUAAUGUUGCACUGCUAAUUUCUUCUGCAGCAUCAGUAAUUACAUUUUGACAUUGUGAUCGGUCAUGUUUAAACAAUAAAGAGUGCAGCUCUUAGUGUUAAGUACUCAUAAGUAGUCAUUCAUUCAUUGUUUAAACCCUUUUCUUUGCUGAUUGUUUCUGCCCUUAAAAUUACAGAACUUUCAAGUAUAAUAGUUGUUCAAAGCUUGAAACAACAUGCAGUAGUUUUUCCUGUUCAUGAAAUGUGGAAUUGCUCAAAGCUUUACUAGCUGUAAUAUUUGGUGAACUCCAAAGGCAGUUUGAUUGUUCGAUGCAUUUAACUUAAUUUCACACAAAAU
This 394-nucleotide unclassified non-coding RNA is filed under the name Hevea brasiliensis (rubber tree). The record is from RNAcentral. Lineage: Eukaryota; Viridiplantae; Streptophyta; Magnoliopsida; Malpighiales; Euphorbiaceae.